AGGUCCCGUGCACCCUGACCCAUUUUAACAAACGUACCCAUUGAAUACAGUGAAGCUGGGGAAGCCCAGCCCAGGAGCAUUGCCUCACUGGGUCAGUCCCACUGCUGGGCUAGGACACCUGUGGUCCCUUCUUCUCACCCUGGAGCUGUGUCUGUGUGAGGGGCUUGCCCCUAAGCCAGCCCACCUGGCACCAUGAGGCCCCUGCCUUAUACAACGGUAAGUUCUCCCAUAGCAGCUAAGCUAAUUCUGGCUACCUACUGAUUUGAAAAGGUUUUUAGAAAGAAAUUUGCAUUUUCCCAGAAACAUCAGCUCUACAUUAUCCAAAUAAACAACAAAGCUAGAACACAGGGGGCAAAGGAUUAUGAAAGGGACGGGUUUUAAACAAGGAUCAAGGAAUAGCAAAUAAUGACAUCGGCAAACACUUCUAUGAUUCUGCUAUGGUCUGAGUGUGUCUCCUGAAAAUUCAUGUUGAAAUCCUAACCCCCAAGAUGACGAUAUUAGCAGGUGUGGACUUUGGAGGUGACUAGGUCAUGAAAGUGGAGCCCUAUAAAUGGGAUUAGUGCCCUUCUAAAAGCAGGGUGGGAGCGGGUGUGGGGGACGUGGGGGAAAACUCCCUUGCCCGUUGCACCAUGUGGAGACACAGCCAGGAGGUACUGUCUGUGCAGAAGGGACCCUCAUCAGACCUGGAAUCUGCCAGUGGGCUUCCCAGCCUCCAGAACUGGGAGAAACAAAUUCCUGUUGCUUAUAAGCCACCCAGCCUAUGUUGUUUUGUUACAGCAGCCCGAGGGGACUAAGACGGGUACUGUGUCCUAGAUUAGCUCAUUUAAUAUUCACUAUGAUCUAUGAAGCAGGCACUACUCUUCAUCAUUCAUGAACGAUUAUUUCCCGCUGAGAAAACUGAGGCACAGAGCAGUCAGUCGCCUAACUCACGGCCCCUGUGAGAGGGUCGCCAAGAUUCUGGAAUCCGGGCAGUCUGGCUCCAGAGUCCGUGCUCUUAGUGUCCAGCUAUACACUUGAAGAAGUGAAAACUGCAGCUCUUUUCGGACAGUGAUCCCCUCGAAAAACAAACAAAAAACUGAAGCCCAGCGGCUGGAGCAAGGGGCCUGGAAAGGCGUUGAGCGAGGGCCGGGGCGCGAGGGCUCCGGGGCGGGCCGGCGGGGACUGCCUCUCCCGCUGGUCACCUGGGGUUGAACUGGAAUUGUUCAAUAGAGGCCUCGAGGCCCUCCAUGAUCUUCCGGCCCUCCUCUGUCUCAGGCGAGUCGCCCCAGUUCGCCAUUGCAGCCCCGGACGUGCGCCUCCCGCGGAGCCGCUCGCUCUCCUGAGUCGGAGUCGGGAACCCGGCGUCCGUUGCCAUGGCGACUCCCAGGCUUCCCCACAAGACUCCCACAGCCUGGAGGCUGCUGCGAUACCCCAGAGGAAAGCUGCACCCCCGUAAAUAACCCUUCAGCCUCCCGCCGUGCCCCUGGACCCUGCUCGCUUCCUCCUCUACCCAGGCGCGGAGCUCAGCCUACCUCGUGGACCCGCGCAUUUGCGGGGGCUUGAAUUCCCGAGCUUCUCGCUUCCUACGCGCGCAGCAGACCCGCAGCUCGGUGGCCUUGGCUUUCAUGGCCUCCCAGCGUGUGCCAAAGGUCCCCCUCAAGGAGGAGGAAAAGCAGUGAACCCAUCUAAUAACUAUGCUCAUGACAUAAUGAGCCCUGCGAUCCCGGACCAAGGCCAUCAUAAGAGGAGAGCAGGCUGCCUAAUAAGCUGUCUCCACCUGCCACAAACGUAGGCGUUCCUGGACAAAAUAUUUCCUUGCAGAGAUUAAACAGAUUUCUAUUUAAUGAGGUCAGAAUGUGAGGCGUUAAGUCUUAAACUAUACCAUCUAGUGUGGAAUUCAAUUUUACCAGGUUUCUACAAUAAUAAGAGUUAAUAGUGAAACUGUUGUCAUCCUUAGUUUUAAAUUAUGUAUCACUCAUUGUCAACUAAUAGGAGACACCUAUUCUAAUAUCAGUAUGUCAUUGUUUUUCUGUAAACGACUGGCUAAAUUUAUUUUUAAAAUGUCAUUGUCUGGUUUAGAACUGUCUAUACUACAUCUGCAUUUCAAUAUAUUAUCUACAGAAAAAUAAGUUUUUUCUCCUCUCU
This 2124-nucleotide long non-coding RNA is filed under the name Homo sapiens (human). RNAcentral's name for it is "HSALNT0356856". The record is from RNAcentral. Lineage: Eukaryota; Metazoa; Chordata; Mammalia; Primates; Hominidae.